GUAGUAACGCGUGGGAACCUGCCUUUUUCUGCGGGAUAACGGUUGGAAACGACCGCUAAUACCGCAUACGCCCUACGGGGGAAAGGUCCGCCGGAGAAAGAGGGGCCCGCGUCUGAUUAGCUAGUUGGUAGGGUAAUGGCCUACCAAGGCGACGAUCAGUAGCUGGUCUGAGAGGAUGAUCAGCCACACUGGGACUGAGACACGGCCCAGACUCCUACGGGAGGCAGCAGUGGGGAAUAUUGGACAAUGGGGGCAACCCUGAUCCAGCAAUGCCGCGUGUGUGAUGAAGGCCUUAGGGUUGUAAAGCACUUUCACUGGUGAAGAUGAUGACGGUAACCAGAGAAGAAGCCCCGGCUAACUUCGUGCCAGCAGCCGCGGUAAUACGAAGGGGGCGAGCGUUGUUCGGAAUUACUGGGCGUAAAGGGCGCGUAGGCGGUCUUUUAAGUUAGGCGUGAAAGCCCCGGGCUCAACCUGGGAACUGCGCUUAAUACUGGAAGACUAGAAAACGGAAGAGGGUAGUGGAAUUCCCAGUGUAGAGGUGAAA
RNAcentral lists this ribosomal RNA (544 nucleotides) under Alphaproteobacteria bacterium. RNAcentral describes it as "bacterial SSU rRNA". It matches the Rfam family "Bacterial small subunit ribosomal RNA", at positions 108 to 686 of the family's 1533-position model. The record is from RNAcentral. Lineage: Bacteria; Pseudomonadati; Pseudomonadota; Alphaproteobacteria.